Molecule: long non-coding RNA, 1177 nt
Organism: Triticum aestivum (bread wheat)
Lineage: Eukaryota; Viridiplantae; Streptophyta; Magnoliopsida; Poales; Poaceae
Exons: 2
Source: RefSeq, a predicted model, not a curated record
CGCACGCGUUCGUUCCCACCGCUGAAAUCUUAUCCUCUCGACUCCUCUCUCGUCCCGUUUCUUCCUCUUCCUCUUUUCCCAUUGUUCCCUUCUCACUUUCCUCAUCUUCAUUCGCAACGCAACUGCUGUGUCCACGGGAGACGCUGGAGACGAUGCACGGUUGGGUCCUGCUGCGAAGCUUCCGUCGUCCAUGCGCUCCGAUGCUGCCCGGAGGACGCGCUGUCGUGCUCGCCUGCGCAAGCUGCGGGUUUUGCAAGGCAGGGGCUCGCUGCUGCUAGCCCGCACGAGCUGCUCCAAGGGAAGCCCCGGCCUUUUUUUUCGUAAGGUGACCAGAAACAUGGUUGCUACAGCUUGAGGGAGUAUAGCUGGUGCUCCUCCGGAGUUACUCACGCGAUGCGGGAAGGAAGUCGCCAUGGAACAACCCAGCCGCCUUGGAGCUCGCCUCGCCUCCGGCCCACCACCUCUCCGUCGGCCUCGUGCUCCUUCGCCGCGAUCCGUUCGCCCUGCCGCUGGAUCCACGCCGGAGCAGCCGUAUCCGCCGCCCAGACCACCAACCAAGAGUCGCCUCUUGCCUGUCCUGCGGUCCGGAGGAAGACGACCGAGAGGAGCGCCCAUUCAUCCACCCCCUUGGAGCUCGUGCUGCCUUCGGGCCGCCACCUCUCCGUCGGCCUCGAUCCGUCUGCCCCGCCGCCCAGCCCACCAACCAAGCGCCGCCUCUUGCCUAUCCUGUGGUCGCAGGUCGAAUAAUAAAAACUGCAGGGUCCUUUAUGUAAAAGCGAAUCAUUUUUUCGGAUUAGCCACUUAAAAAUAGGACCGCGGGUCAAAUUCUCAGAAACAGAUGGACUUUUAUGCAAAAUCGUGCGCGACGCACGGGCAGAAACCCAAUUCUCUUUAUUAUUAGGUAAAGAUUACUCGCUAGUUGAUUAUUCCAUUGAUAUAAGUAAAUGUGAGACCUAAGUGAAUAUGGUUAGUUCAUGAUCUUUCUUGAAAACCUGAACAUCAGUUAGACAUAUUUACAUCAAUAAGAUCAAAUAGAGUUUGUAAAAGACUUUCUUUGUCACUUUCAGUUUGUCAACUGAAUUGAUUGAAGACAAGCAAUGGGUUAAGCUUGGGGGAGUUGAUACAUCUUCAUCGUAUCUACUUUUUCAAACUCUUUUGCCCUUAUUUUGGACUUUAA